GUCUUUGAGCGGUGGAUCACUUGACUCAUUUGUCAAUGAAAAACACAGCUAGCUGCAAGAACUAAUGUGAAUUGCAGAACACAUUGUUCAUCGACACUUUGAAAGCACUUUGCGGCCCUGGGUUACUCCCAGGGCUAUGCCUGUCUGAGGGUCA
Molecule: ribosomal RNA, 154 nt
Organism: Protopterus annectens (West African lungfish)
Lineage: Eukaryota; Metazoa; Chordata; Ceratodontiformes; Protopteridae
Product: 5.8S ribosomal RNA
Exons: 1
Source: RefSeq, a predicted model, not a curated record